GUUUGUCUGGUCCAGGUACAUGUAGCUUGGCCCAUAAUAUUUUCCUCUUUUUUAGAAACAAUCAAACCCUUGAUUUACCUUUUGAAUCAGGUAAGAGGUUGUAAUUGCCAUGCAUAUAUAUUAAUUUAACUGACAAAAUAUGUUAUUUUAGCAGCUUAGGCUUUAUAAAUAGUCUAAAUAAUAGAAAAAACAUGAGUAACAUUUUUUAUUCUUAUGGUGGUUAGGGUCUUUAAAGACUAUUCUUUUUUUUUUUUCUUUAGGAGACAUCUUUGUGCCAUAGACAUAGUCUCCUAUCUGGAAUGGGUGUUGGAAAUCAGUGGUCUUUUGAGGUUUGUUCUCUCCAAGGAAUUUAUGAGCUUCAGGUUGAACCUAUUGGAGAGACUUAACAACAGGAGAAGGUGAUCUUAGUAAGGGUGGAGGAAGGGCUCUGAAGGUACUAACAAUUUAAUCUCCCAGAGGUGGUCUCUCUUUGGACCAAAACUGGUCUCCAAUUUUGUGAUCUGACCCAAUUAUCUACGCUGACUGAAGUUUUUAUUUUAUUUUCUCAUCUAAUUUUAGGGACUUCUUGCUGCUGGAAGAAAAAGGGUGAGGAUCACUCUUACUGCUACAAGCUGAGAGGGGGCAUCAUGGGGUGGGGAAAGCAGUUUGGAGUCCCCUUUUAGAGAUUGGGUUAGUCAAGGGGUCCAUGGUAAAAAUCUGGCUUGGGAAGAAUAGGUUGUAAAGUCAUCUAGGGGUGGAUAUGGGAAGCUACUCCUGAGCUAUUUAGCAUCUUCACUAGGCCUUGAGCCAAGGAUAUUUUGGUGUGGCAUUGCAAGUCAUUCUGUGGCUCCUCCCACUUAAUGCAUUAUGCAAUGAAAGUGAUUUCAGCCUUAGCUUGGCUGGGAAAUCUGCUCUUCUAGCUCCAGAAUUGGACUUGACCCCCUGAGCCUGAACAGCUCACCUCCUACCUUAUUUGGCAGAAAAACAUUCUAUGCAAAAUCUUUGAAGUUUCCUCCAUAUAUAAUAAAGCAAACAAGGGCUCUCUCUCUUCCCAUUGUGGAAGGUCAAAGAGCCAUCCCACCCCCACUUUUCAUAAUUACUUUCUGUGUAGUGUGGCUUUUUCAAUGCCUUUUUCUUAGCUUUAUUUCAUAGCCAACUCACUUCAUGCAAUGAAACCCAAAUCCCACUACCUUUACAGCAUAUUGUAGAGAGCCACUCCAAAUGCACACACCUUUAAUUCCUGAUACACCAUGGUGAUCUCAAAGAUCACUGUAGUCUGGAGCAGUAUUGCCAAGACUCUUGGGAGUAGCCCUAGGAGUAGGCAGCACCCAGAGAGGUUGAGCUACUCUCACCUCUUCCCUUGUAAUUCUACCCUAAUCUCAUUUGAAUAGCUUCUUCCCAAUAGAAGGGUUUAGCAAGUGCUCCUCUCUCUUUCCAGGAACCCCUAAGGUCAGAGGAGCCUUAGGAGGACCCAGUUCACCUGGAGUUACCUUGAGUGUUUCAGUUGUGAGACAUGACAAUUGGUGGCCCUUAUGGAGACUCCAGGGUGAAAUUUAGAAAUUUAGUGGGCUUGGAAUUUCUCACCAGAAGUUAAGCACACUUAGAAUUUCAGAGUAUUGUCAGCUGAAUUGUAGAAAGUAAGUGAAUUAGACAGAAGAAAAAUCUGGAUGUUAAACUUUUUAAUAUUUGGGAAUAUUUUAUCCUUGGAAAGAGAAAAAAAUAUUUUUUUACAAUUCUAGAGACUCUAAAUAAAUGUAAAGAAUUAUUAAGAUGAUUCAUGGGAUAUGUUGUCAAGUUCAGUUCUCUACCAUGGGAAAAGCACUUUUGUGGACUUUUUUGGGUUGUUUUUAUAAAUCUUUAUAUUUUGAAAUAUUAGGUAAAAAUCUUUUGGGUUUAUGUACUAGAAGUCUGUGCUUUAAAAGUGAGAAAAAGAAAAAAAUGAUUUUGUGAUGAGACUUGAUACGAGGAUUCUUUGCCCGUAGAGAAGUGAAUUUUGUUUUUCUAUUGUUUUUAUGAAUAAUGAACCUCUGCUACAUUCUUGUCCUACUGGAUCAGAAUCCAAAGACUUUAGCAACUGUUCCCUAAUGGGGCUGUAACUAGACCCACCACCUGCGGUGCUUUUAACCCUU
RNAcentral lists this long non-coding RNA (2108 nucleotides) under Marmota monax (woodchuck). Lineage: Eukaryota; Metazoa; Chordata; Mammalia; Rodentia; Sciuridae. The record is from RNAcentral.